AGACCACCAGCUAAGGUCCCAAAAUAUAUGUUAAGUGGAAAAGGAUGUGGCGUUGCCCAGACAACUAGGAUGUUGGCUUAGAAGCAGCCAUCAUUUAAAGAGUGCGUAAUAGCUCACUAGUCGAGUGACACUGCGCCGAAAAUGUACCGGGGCUAAACAUAUUACCGAAGCUGUGGAUUGUCCUUUGGACAAUGGUAGGAGAGCGUUCUAAGGGCGUUGAAGCAUGAUCGUAAGGACAUGUGGAGCGCUUAGAAGUGAGAAUGCCGGUGUGAGUAGCGAAAGACGGGUGAGAAUCCCGUCCACCGAUUGACUAAGGUUUCCAGAGGAAGGCUCGUCCGCUCUGGGUUAGUCGGGUCCUAAGCUGAGGCCGACAGGCGUAGGCGAUGGAUAACAGGUUGAUAUUCCUGUACCACCUAUAAUCGUUUUAAUCGAUGGGGGGACGCAGUAGGAUAGGCGAAGCGUGCGAUUGGAUUGCACGUCUAAGCAGUAAGGCUGAGUAUUAGGCAAAUCCGGUACUCGUUAAGGCUGAGCUGUGAUGGGGAGAAGACAUUGUGUCUUCGAGUCGUUGAUUUCACACUGCCGAGAAAAGCCUCUAGAUAGAAAAUAGGUGCCCGUACCGCAAACCGACACAGGUAGUCAAGAUGAGAAUUCUAAGGUGAGCGAGCGAACUCUCGUUAAGGAACUCGGCAAAAUGACCCCGUAACUUCGGGAGAAGGGGUGCUCUUUAGGGUUAACGCCCAGAAGAGCCGCAGUGAAUAGGCCCAAGCGACUGUUUAUCAAAAACACAGGUCUCUGCUAAACCGUAAGGUGAUGUAUAGGGGCUGACGCCUGCCCGGUGCUGGAAGGUUAAGAGGAGUGGUUAGCUUCUGCGAAGCUACGAAUCGAAGCCCCAGUAAACGGCGGCCGUAACUAUAACGGUCCUAAGGUAGCGAAAUUCCUUGUCGGGUAAGUUCCGACCCGCACGAAAGGCGUAACGAUUUGGGCACUGUCUCAACGAGAGACUCGGUGAAAUCAUAGUACCUGUGAAGAUGCAGGUUACCCGCGACAGGACGGAAAGACCCCGUGGAGCUUUACUGUAGCCUGAUAUUGAAAUUCGGCACAGCUUGUACAGGAUAGGUAGGAGCCUUUGAAACGUGAGCGCUAGCUUACGUGGAGGCGCUGGUGGGAUACUACCCUAGCUGUGUUGGCUUUCUAACCCGCACCACUUAUCGUGGUGGGAGACAGUGUCAGGCGGGCAGUUUGACUGGGGCGGUCGCCUCCUAAAAGGUAACGGAGGCGCUCAAAGGUUUCCUCAGAAUGGUUGGAAAUCAUUCAUAGAGUGUAAAGGCAUAAGGGAGCUUGACUGCGAGACCUACAAGUCGAGCAGGGUCGAAAGACGGACUUAGUGAUCCGGUGGUUCCGCAUGGAAGGGCCAUCGCUCAACGGAUAAAAGCUACCCCGGGGAUAACAGGCUUAUCUCCCCCAAGAGUUCACAUCGACGGGGAGGUUUGGCACCUCGAUGUCGGCUCAUCGCAUCCUGGGGCUGUAGUCGGUCCCAAGGGUUGGGCUGUUCGCCCAUUAAAGCGGUACGCGAGCUGGGUUCAGAACGUCGUGAGACAGUUCGGUCCCUAUCCGUCGUGGGCGUAGGAAAUUUGAGAGGAGCUGUCCUUAGUACGAGAGGACCGGGAUGGACAUACCUCUGGUGUACCAGUUGUCGUGCCAACGGCAUAGCUGGGUAGCUAUGUGUGGACGGGAUAAGUGCUGAAAGCAUCUAAGCAUGAAGCCCCCCUCAAGAUGAGAUUUCCCAACUUCGGUUAUAAGAUCCCUCAAAGAUGAUGAGGUUAAUAGGUUCGAGGUGGAAGCAUGGUGACAUGUGGAGCUGACGAAUACUAAUCGAUCGAAGACUUAAUCAA
This 1892-nucleotide ribosomal RNA is filed under the name Staphylococcus aureus. Its description in RNAcentral is "partial 23S ribosomal RNA". It matches the Rfam family "Bacterial large subunit ribosomal RNA", at positions 1029 to 2925 of the family's 2925-position model. The record is from RNAcentral. Lineage: Bacteria; Bacillati; Bacillota; Bacilli; Caryophanales; Staphylococcaceae.